UGAAAAACUCCGGUGGUAUAAGAUGGACCCGCGUUGGAUUAGCUUGUUGGUGAGGUAACGGCUCAACAAGGCGACGAUCCAUAGCCGGCCUGAGAGGUUGAACGGCCACAUUGGGACUGAGACACGGCCCAGACUCCUACGGGAGGCAGCAGUGGGGAAUAUUGCACAAUGGGGGAAACCCUGAUGCAGCGACGCCGCGUGAAGGAAGAAGUAUCUCGGUAUGUAAACUUCUAUCAGCAGGGAAGAUAGUGACGGUACCUGACUAAGAAGCCCCGGCUAACUACGUGCCAGCAGCCGCGGUAAUACGUAGGGGGCAAGCGUUAUCCGGAUUUACUGGGUGUAAAGGGAGCGUAGACGGACUGGCAAGUCUGAUGUGAAAGGCGGGGGCUCAACCCCUGGACUGCAUUGGAAACUGUUAGUCUUGAGUGCCGGAGAGGUAAGCGGAAUUCCUAGUGUAGCGGUGAAAUGCGUAGAUAUUAGGAGGAACACCAGUGGCG
This 497-nucleotide ribosomal RNA is filed under the name uncultured Lachnospiraceae bacterium. RNAcentral describes it as "bacterial SSU rRNA". It matches the Rfam family "Bacterial small subunit ribosomal RNA", at positions 200 to 717 of the family's 1533-position model. The record is from RNAcentral. Lineage: Bacteria; Bacillati; Bacillota; Clostridia; Lachnospirales; Lachnospiraceae.